GGAAUUUUCCGCAAUGGGCGAAAGCCUGACGGAGCAACGCCGCGUGAGGGAUGAAGGCCUCUGGGCUGUAAACCUCUUUUUUCAAGGAAGAAGAUCUGACGGUACUUGAAGAAUAAGCCACGGCUAAUUCCGUGCCAGCAGCCGCGGUAAUACGGGAGUGGCAAGCGUUAUCCGGAAUUAUUGGGCGUAAAGCGUCCGCAGGCGGCCUAGUAAGUCUGCUGUUAAAGACUAGGGCUCAACCCUAGAAAAGCAGUGGAAACUGCUAGACUUGAGUGUGGUAGAGGUAGAGGGAAUUCCUAGUGUAGCGGUGAAAUGCGUAGAUAUUAGGAAGAACACCAAUGGCGAAAGCACUUUACUGGGCCAUAACUGACACUGAGAGACGACAGCUAGGGGAGCAAAUGGGAUUAGAUACCCCAGUAGUC
RNAcentral lists this ribosomal RNA (422 nucleotides) under uncultured eukaryotic phytoplankton. RNAcentral describes it as "bacterial SSU rRNA". It matches the Rfam family "Bacterial small subunit ribosomal RNA", at positions 358 to 795 of the family's 1533-position model. The record is from RNAcentral.